CAGUAGCGUAUAUUAAAUUUGUUGCAGUUAAAAAGCUCGUAGUUGAAGUUCUGCGGGGCGGGCGAGCCGGCUCAGGCUGACUUACCUUCCUCGCAUCCGCUUGAGCAGCGGCAGUGGCAUUGAUUUGUUGUUGUCGUGAUCAGGCCUUUUACCUUGAGCAAAUUAGAGUGUUCCAGGCAGGCUCUCGCCUGAAUAGUCCAGCAUGGAAUAAUACAAUAGGACUGUGUCCCAUUUUUUGGUGUUAUGGUACGCAGUAAUGAUUAAUAGGGACAGUUGGGGGCAUUCGUAUUCAAUUGUCAGAGGUGAAAUUCUAUGAUUUAUUGAAGACGAACCUAUGCGAAAGCAUUUGCCAAGGAUGUUUUCAUUAAUCAAGAACGAAAGUUAAGGGAUCAAAGACGAUCAGAUACCAU
This 410-nucleotide ribosomal RNA is filed under the name uncultured eukaryote. RNAcentral describes it as "SSU rRNA". It matches the Rfam family "Eukaryotic small subunit ribosomal RNA", at positions 592 to 1018 of the family's 1831-position model. The record is from RNAcentral.